RNAcentral lists this ribosomal RNA (553 nucleotides) under uncultured Lactobacillaceae bacterium. RNAcentral's name for it is "bacterial SSU rRNA". It matches the Rfam family "Bacterial small subunit ribosomal RNA", at positions 8 to 521 of the family's 1533-position model. Lineage: Bacteria; Bacillati; Bacillota; Bacilli; Lactobacillales; Lactobacillaceae. The record is from RNAcentral.
AGAGUUUGAUCCUGGCUCAGGACGAACGCUGGCGGCGCGCCUAAUACAUGCAAGUCGAGCGAGUCUGCCUUGAAGAUCGGAGUGCUUGCACUCUGUGAAACAAGAUACAGGCUAGCGGCGGACGGGUGAGUAACACGUGGGUAACCUGCCCAAGAGAUCGGGAUAACACCUGGAAACAGAUGCUAAUACCGGAUAACAACAGAUGAUGCCUAUCAACUGUUUAAAAGAUGGUUCUGCUAUCACUCUUGGAUGGACCUGCGGUGCAUUAGCUAGUUGGUAGGGUAACGGCCUACCAAGGCGAUGAUGCAUAGCCGAGUUGAGAGACUGAUCGGCCACAUUGGGACUGAGACACGGCCCAAACUCCUACGGGAGGCAGCAGUAGGGAAUCUUCCACAAUGGACGCAAGUCUGAUGGAGCAACGCCGCGUGAGUGAAGAAGGGUUUCGGCUCGUAAAGCUCUGUUGUUGGUGAAGAAGGACAGGGGUAGUAACUGACCUUUGUUUGACGGUAAUCAAUUAGAAAGUCACGGCUAACUACGUGCCAACCGCCGCGGU